GCACUGAUGGUUUAGUGGUAGAAUGCUUGCUUCCCACGCUAGAGAUCCGGGUUCGAUUCCCGGUCAGUGCG
This 71-nucleotide transfer RNA is filed under the name Adineta vaga. RNAcentral describes it as "tRNA-Gly for anticodon CCC". It matches the Rfam family "tRNA". Rfam says of the family: Transfer RNA (tRNA) molecules are approximately 80 nucleotides in length. Their secondary structure includes four short double-helical elements and three loops (D, anti-codon, and T loops). The record is from RNAcentral. Lineage: Eukaryota; Metazoa; Rotifera; Eurotatoria; Adinetida; Adinetidae.